Molecule: ribosomal RNA, 619 nt
Filed under: uncultured Bacteroidota bacterium
Lineage: Bacteria; Pseudomonadati; Bacteroidota
Description: bacterial SSU rRNA
Rfam family: Bacterial small subunit ribosomal RNA
Source: RNAcentral
AUGAACGCUAGCUACAGGCUUAACACAUGCAAGUCCAGGGGAAACGAUAUUGGAAGCUUGCUUCCGAUAGGCAUCGACCGGCGCACGGGUGAGUAACGCGUAUCCAACCUGCCCAUCACUUGGGGAUAACCUUGCGAAAGUAAGACUAAUACCCAAUGAUAUCUCAAGAAGACAUCUGAAUGAGAUUAAAGAUUUAUCGGUGAUGGAUGGGGAUGCGUCUGAUUAGCUUGUUGGCGGGGUAACGGCCCACCAAGGCGACGAUCAGUAGGGGUUCUGAGAGGAAGGUCCCCCACAUUGGAACUGAGACACGGUCCAAACUCCUACGGGAGGCAGCAGUGAGGAAUAUUGGUCAAUGGGCGAGAGCCUGAACCAGCCAAGUAGCGUGCGGGAUGACGGCCCUAUGGGUUGUAAACUGCUUUUAUAAGGGAAUAAAGUGAGCUACGUGUAGCUCUUUGCAUGUACCUUAUGAAUAAGGACCGGCUAAUUCCGUGCCAGCAGCCGCGGUAAUACGGAAGGUUCGGGCGUUAUCCGGAUUUAUUGGGUUUAAAGGGAGCGUAGGCCGGAGAUUAAGCGUGUUGUGAAAUGUAGAUGCUCAACAUCUGCACUGCAGCGCGAACUG